GAUGAACGCUGGCGGCGUGCCUAACACAUGCAAGUCGAGCGAACCCUUCGGGGUGAGCGGCGGACGGGUGAGUAACGCGUGGGUAACCUGCCCUGUACACACGGAUAACAUACCGAAAGGUAUGCUAAUACGAGAUAAUAUAUUUUAAUCGCAUGGUUAAGAUAUCAAAGCUCCGGCGGUACAGGAUGGACCCGCGUCUGAUUAGCUAGUUGGUGAGGUAAUGGCUCACCAAGGCGACGAUCAGUAGCCGACCUGAGAGGGUGAUCGGCCACACUGGAACUGAGACACGGUCCAGACUCCUACGGGAGGCAGCAGUGGGGAAUAUUGCACAAUGGGCGAAAGCCUGAUGCAGCAACGCCGCGUGAGCGAUGAAGGCCUUCGGGUCGUAAAGCUCUGUCCUCAAGGAAGAUAAUGACGGUACUUGAGGAGGAAGCCCCGGCUAACUACGUGCCAGCAGCCGCCGCAG
Molecule: ribosomal RNA, 466 nt
Filed under: uncultured bacterium
Lineage: Bacteria
Description: partial 16S ribosomal RNA
Rfam family: Bacterial small subunit ribosomal RNA
Source: RNAcentral